UUUUUUCUGCAAUUUAAAAAUUUUACAAAUCACGAUGCUUUCGAGUUGCUUGCGAAAUACGGCACAUCUCAUCUAGUCUUCAAUGAUGAUAUUUAGGUACUAUAAUUGAAGCAUUGAACUUUGGCCGACCACACUUUCCUGUUCUUCGGUGUCGACAAAGAAAUCGAUAGAGAAAACUUGCAAGAAGAUAUGACUUGUAGACUCAAAGGUAUUUUCUAUCAAUUUCUUUAGGGAGUGGGGUGAUGAGCCAGGUGAGUGUAGUUAUAGAACAUUUUUCUUGGAGCGUAAAAACAGGGACAUUAUGAAAAGGCAGCACCGUCAAGUUUUAUUCAGUGGAAUUAUCACUGCCAUUGGUAUUAGCUUACAUAAUUUUCCUGAAGGAAUGGGAGUGUUCUUUGGGUCCGUGAAGGGUCUUCAGGUUGGUCUUAACCUUGCAUUAGCCAUUGCUUUGCACAAUAUCCCAAAGGUAUUUUUAUUAUAUUUUACCUUAUAAUAUAAUCUUAAUGUUCUAUUAAUAAAUUCCU
Non-coding RNA from Arachis ipaensis, 524 nucleotides. The record is from RefSeq and is a predicted model, not a curated record. NCBI's taxonomy places the organism in Eukaryota, Viridiplantae, Streptophyta, Magnoliopsida, Fabales, Fabaceae.